AGCUAAUACAUGCUAAAAAUCCCGACUUCGGAAGGGAUGUAUUUAUUAGAUAAAAAACCAAUGCCCUCCGGGGCUCCCGUGGUGAUUCAUGAUAACUCGACGAAUCGCAUGGCCUUGCGCCGGCGAUGGUUCAUUCAAAUUUCUGCCCUAUCAACUUUCGAUGGUAUGGUUUUGGCUUACCAUGGUCUCGACGGGUAACGGGGAAUUAGGGUUCGAUUCCGGAGAGGGAGCCUGAGAAACGGCUACCACAUCCAAGGAAGGCAGCAGGCGCGCAAAUUACCCAAUACCAACUCGGUGAGGUAGUGACAAUAAAUACUGAUACAGGGCUCUUUCGGGUCUUGUAAUUGGAAUGAGUACAAUCUAAAUCCCUUAACGAGGAACAAUUGGAGGGCAAGUCUGGUGAACUGUUCGGUUCGGGAGUUUUUAUACAACCUUGCUGACGCCAGAAACUGUUACCUUUUGUGUUAGUAGCAAUGUCCACCGCGUCAUUAUUUGCUUCGCAGGCAAUGUGAGACGCGGGGGCGAGGUCAGCUGGAUCGAGGAAGCCUGCAGCCCGCGGUCGUCCGUUACAGGGCCCCGGGUAUGGUAAUCUCGAGCCGAGUCUAACGUUGGUUGGUACCGUCUCCGGGCGGCGGCCGUCUCAACGGAAUCUAUGGACCGGUGUAGAGCACGCAAAGCGACCGGCUGCCGUGAACGACGUGGGGCUCAACUGCCACGUCUGCCACGGUCAGCUCAAGGAACGUGCCGAUCCCCGGACGAAAGUCCGGCCCUGGUGAAGUCAUGUAGUACCGCUGCGAACGGGAAGCUCCAGGGGCCUCUGGGACAAAAUAUUAUCGAUUCCCGGGGGUGAAGGGUGCCGAACGGUCUCUCUCUAGUCGCCGACGGGGGUAGAGAUCGUGCUGGCACCCAACCAAUUGGCCAGCAGCCGCGGUAAUUCCAGCUCCAAUAGCGUAUAUUAAAGUUGUUGCCGUUAAAAAGCUCGUAGUUGAACCUUGGGUCUGGCCGAUCUGUCCUCCUAAUCGAGCGCACGGAUUCGGCCGGACCUUUCCUUCUGGGGAGCCCGAUGCCCUUUACUGGGCGUCGCGGGGAACCAGGACUUUUACCUUGAAAAAAUUAGAGUGUUCAAAGCAGGCAUUUGCUCGAAUACAUUAGCAUGGAAUAAUAGAAUAGGACAGAGGUUCUAUUUUGUUGGUUUCUAGGACCGCUGUAAUGAUUAAUAGGGAUAGUCGGGGGCGUCCGUAUUCAAUUGUCAGAGGUGAAAUUCUUGGAUUUAUUGAAGACGAACUACUGCGAAAGCAUUCGCCAAGGAUGUUUUCAUUAAUCAGUGAACGAAAGUUAGGGGAUCGAAGACGAUCAGAUACCGUCGUAGUCNNNNNNNNNNNNNNNNNNNNNNNNNNNNNNNNNNNNNNNNNNNNNNNNNNUUGACGGAAGGGCACCACAAGGCGUAAACGCCGUAGGAAAUCUGCGCCUCACAGGCACCCCGAUCUCAAAAGGGGUGGUGGUAAGUCCUGGCCGGCCGUGACCAACUGGUCGCGCGGCCGAAAAGCCUAGUCCGCCCGGAGCGUCCUCGCAUCCGGCGGGCGAGACCCUCAAAUUGCGUGAAAGCCCUGACACCCGGUCCUACCGCCCGGACGAUCAACAGUCGUCCCGUGGCACCGUGGGUAACGCCCACGGGUAAGGUAACAACGGUACCGGUUUGGGUGAUGCGCAGCCAAGCUCCUGUCGACGACGGAGAAGGUUCAGAGACUAGACGGGGGUCGGUCUCACUAAACGGGGCUUAAGGUAUAGUCCGCUUACCUACAUCUCGCACUGUGCGACCAUUCGUAAAUGGGAGCCUGCGGCUUAAUUUGACUCAACACGGGGAAACUCACCAGGUCCAGACAUGCUUAGGAUUGACAGAUUGAUAGCUCUUUCUUGAUUGUAUGGGUGGUGGUGCAUGGCCGUUUUUAGUUGGUGGAGUGAUUUGUCUGCUUAAUUGCGUUAACGAACGAGACCUUGACCUGCUAAAUAGUCCCACUCACUUUGGUGGGUGGCCGACUUCUUAGAGGGACUUUUGGCUCAAGCCAAUGGAAGUACGAGGCAAAAACAGGUCUGUGAUGCCCUUAGAUGUUCUGGGCCGCACGCGCGCUACACUGACAGAGCCAGCGAGUACACCACCUUGGCCGAAAGGUCUGGGUAAUCUUGUUAAACUCUGUCGUGCUGGGGAUAGAGCAUUGCAAUUAUUGCUCUUCAACGAGGAAUGCCUAGUAAGCGCAAGUCAUCAGCUUGCGUUGAUUACGUCCCUGCCCUUUGUACACACCGCCCGUCGCUACUACCGAUUGAAUGGCUCAGUGAGGCCUUGGGAUUGGCCAGGGGAGGUGGGCGACCACCACCCCAGGCCGAAAACUUGGUCAAACUUGGUCAUUUAGAGGAAGUAAAAGUCGUAACAAGGUUUUCGCAGACGCCUAGUCUCGAGAUAAGUCCUGAUGCAUCCUUCUGCAGUGAACACUUAUCGGAAGCCUUUAACAGCUGCCGGAAACGGUGAGGCUGCCACGACUGUAAAUAAGGGCAGCCCAAGAGCUAGUGGAACGCCGGUCCCUUGCCGGUCUUUCGCGACACUGUCAAAUUGCGGGAAUCCCCUUAGAGCUUGCUGCUACCAAGCGUCGUCCCGAAACGGGCGACGUGGCCAGGGUAACUCCCUCGGGUACGGUCACAACGCGCAAGAUUGGGUAACCUGCAGCCAAGUCCUACCGGCCUUCCAGGCCCAUGGAUGCUGUUCACAGACUAAAUGGUAGUGGGUGACGCCCCCCUCGGUAGAAGAGGGGUAGGAGUCGCUUAAGAUAUAGUCGGGCCCCCGGGGAGACUCGGGGGAAAAGUUUCACGAAGAAUGGCCGUCGGUCCUUUUCGACGUGCCUAACAAUAACCGUUCCGUAGGUGAACCUGCGGAAGGAUCAUUA
RNAcentral lists this ribosomal RNA (2936 nucleotides) under Chaetothyriales sp. MMO8. Its description in RNAcentral is "partial 18S ribosomal RNA". The stretch from base 1 to 2356 matches the Rfam family "Eukaryotic small subunit ribosomal RNA". The record is from RNAcentral. Lineage: Eukaryota; Fungi; Ascomycota; Eurotiomycetes; Chaetothyriales.